Molecule: transfer RNA, 80 nt
Filed under: Ovis aries (sheep)
Lineage: Eukaryota; Metazoa; Chordata; Mammalia; Artiodactyla; Bovidae
Rfam family: tRNA
About the family: Transfer RNA (tRNA) molecules are approximately 80 nucleotides in length. Their secondary structure includes four short double-helical elements and three loops (D, anti-codon, and T loops). Further hydrogen bonds mediate the characteristic L-shaped molecular structure. tRNAs have two regions of fundamental functional importance: the anti-codon, which is responsible for specific mRNA codon recognition, and the 3' end, to which the tRNAs corresponding amino acid is attached (by aminoacyl-tRNA synthetases). tRNAs cope with the degeneracy of the genetic code in two manners: having more than one tRNA (with a specific anti-codon) for a particular amino acid; and 'wobble' base-pairing, i.e. permitting non-standard base-pairing at the 3rd anti-codon position.
Source: Rfam by way of RNAcentral
UCCCAGGUGGCUCAGUGGUAAAGGAUCUGCCUGCAAUGCAGGAUAUGCAGGAAAUGUGGGUUUGAUCCCUGGCUUGGGAA